GUGCUCCCUCUGGGAGGACAUAGGCUGAAACUGGACCCACACAGAGGAGGGCAGCAUGGCCCCUGCCUAAGGAUGACGUGCAGUUCUGUGACGUGCUCCAUAUUUUA
Phocoena sinus (vaquita) is the source of this 107-nucleotide small nuclear RNA. The record is from Ensembl. NCBI's taxonomy places the organism in Eukaryota, Metazoa, Chordata, Mammalia, Artiodactyla, Phocoenidae.